RNAcentral lists this ribosomal RNA (459 nucleotides) under Acanthamoeba castellanii. RNAcentral's name for it is "SSU rRNA". It matches the Rfam family "Eukaryotic small subunit ribosomal RNA", at positions 741 to 1097 of the family's 1831-position model. Lineage: Eukaryota; Discosea; Longamoebia; Acanthamoebidae. The record is from RNAcentral.
GCCCAGAUCGUUUACCGUGAAAAAAUUAGAGUGUUCAAAGCAGGCAGAUCCAAUUCUCUGCCACCGAAUACAUUAGCAUGGGAUAAUGGAAUAGGACCCUGUCCUCCUAUUUUCAGUUGGUUUUGGCAGCGCGAGGACUAGGGUAAUGAUUAAUAGGGAUAGUUGGGGGCAUUAAUAUUUAAUUGUCAGAGGUGAAAUUCUUGGAUUUAUGAAAGAUUAACUUCUGCGAAAGCAUCUGCCAAGGAUGUUUUCAUUAAUCAAGAACGAAAGUUAGGGGAUCGAAGACGAUCAGAUACCGUCGUAGUCUUAACCAUAAACGAUGCCGACCAGCGAUUAGGAGACGUUGAAUACAAAACACCACCAUCGGUGCGGUCGUUCUUGGCGUCGGUCUUUCGGCCGGCGCGGGGACGGCUUAGCCCGGUGGCACCGGUGAAUGACUCCCCUAGCAGCCUUGUGAGA